RNA transcript from Grammomys surdaster, 5693 nucleotides. It is a transcript of the gene named TAR DNA binding protein, with no coding region annotated. NCBI's taxonomy places the organism in Eukaryota, Metazoa, Chordata, Mammalia, Rodentia, Muridae. The record is from RefSeq and is a predicted model, not a curated record. The transcript is spliced from 8 exons.
GAGGGCGGGAGGCGGCCCUAGCGCCAUUUUGUGGGCACGAAGCGGUAGCUCGGCUGUUGUCGGAUUCCUUCCCGCCUCUGAGUCCUCGUUGUGCUUCCUAGCAGCGGCCUAGCGGAGAUUUAAGCAAAGAUGUCUGAAUAUAUUCGGGUAACAGAAGAUGAGAACGAUGAGCCCAUUGAAAUACCAUCAGAAGACGAUGGGACAGUGUUGCUGUCCACAGUUACAGCCCAGUUUCCAGGGGCUUGUGGCCUGCGCUACCGGAAUCCAGUGUCUCAGUGUAUGAGAGGCGUCAGAUUGGUGGAAGGAAUUCUGCAUGCCCCUGAUGCUGGCUGGGGCAAUCUGGUAUAUGUUGUCAACUAUCCCAAAGAUAACAAAAGGAAAAUGGAUGAGACCGAUGCUUCCUCUGCAGUGAAAGUGAAAAGAGCAGUCCAGAAAACGUCUGACCUCAUAGUGUUGGGUCUUCCCUGGAAAACAACAGAACAGGAUCUUAAAGACUAUUUCAGUACCUUUGGAGAGGUUCUUAUGGUUCAGGUCAAGAAAGAUCUUAAAACUGGUCACUCGAAAGGGUUUGGCUUUGUUCGAUUUACGGAAUAUGAAACCCAAGUGAAAGUAAUGUCACAACGACAUAUGAUAGACGGGCGAUGGUGUGACUGUAAACUUCCGAAUUCUAAGCAAAGCCCAGAUGAGCCUUUGAGAAGCAGAAAGGUGUUUGUUGGUCGCUGUACAGAGGACAUGACUGCAGAGGAGCUUCAGCAGUUCUUCUGUCAGUAUGGAGAGGUGGUGGAUGUCUUCAUCCCCAAACCCUUCAGAGCCUUUGCCUUCGUUACCUUUGCAGAUGAUAAGGUUGCCCAGUCUCUUUGUGGAGAGGACUUGAUCAUUAAAGGAAUCAGCGUGCAUAUAUCCAAUGCUGAACCUAAGCAUAAUAGCAAUAGACAGUUAGAAAGAAGUGGAAGAUUUGGUGGUAAUCCAGUUCAUCUCAUUUCAAAUGUUUAUGGAAGAAGCACUUCAUUGAAAGUAGUGCUGUAAAUAUUCUGCCAUAGGAAUACUUCUGUCUACAUGCUUUCUCAUCCAAGAAUUCGUCAUCACGCUGCACAGGCUGCGUCUUUGACGCCCUGAAUGCAAAGAAUUCAUAGCAGUUAAUUCCCCUUUUUGACCCUUUUGAGAUGGAACUUUCAUAAAGUUUCUUGGCAGUAGUUUAUUUUGCUUCAAAUAAACUUAUUUGAAAAGUUGUCUCAAGUCACAUGGAUUCAUCACCUGUCAUGUAUUGACACCUGAUAGAUACCCAGACUUAAUUGCUAUUUGUUCUUGCAUUGUCCAAAGUGAAAGUUUUUCUUUGGGUUAUUUUGUUUUUAAUCUAGUUUUUUUAAGUCCGGGUGACCGCACCUAAAAUGGUAAGCAGUUACCCUCCAGCUUGUUCUGAGUGCCUCUGUGCAUUUGAGUGAUUUUCUAUUUACAUGGCUGUGUAAAUCUCCAUUGGGGAAUCAUGCCUUUUAAAAAUACUAUUUGGGAGAGGGGGCAAAACAGUUGUUUCCAAAUGCUUUGUAGCGGAGCAUAUCAAUGGAAAAAGAAGGGAUAAGCCCCUUUCUGUUUGGGGUUUGAAAAAGUGGAAUUAAUUGCAAUAGGGGUGAAGUAGAAGAAACCAAGAAACCAUGUGCCUGAAAUCCAUUAAGAAGCCUGAUAGCUUUAAGAACUAGUAGGGUGGGUGGUCUUCUCUGUGGCAGUCUUGAGUGAGGUAGGCUUUUGCCCUCCUAAUGGGCUAUGUAGUGAUGAAUAAAUAUGCUCACAAAAUCAGAUUAGACUGUCAAUGCAUUGUUAAGAAUGUAAAAGCAAUAAUACAUUGAUUAUUGUACUUUUUCUGUAACUACUGGGGACUGAAGAGCUCUUUUUCUAACUGGAAGAAUGUGACAGUUUUUGUGUUGGUAGUUUCCCUAAUGCCCUUACCUACAUAGAUUAUGAUAAAUAGGUUUGUCAUUUUGCAAGUUGCGUGUUUUAAAAUUUUAUAUCCUUUAGAGACUUGUUAUGAACACAUUGUUUCAUUAUACAGUAUCCUCUGUAAAAGGAUCGUGAGUUAUUGUAAAUUUUUUUCUCUGCAUCUAAGCCUGCAUGAUUUCCAAACCCUGUACAUCUGAAUUUUGCAUUUUAGCACUUGCACUAUUACUCAGCAGCAGUAACAUGGUAACAUUAAAAUGGUUUUCGGGGACCUCCAAAGACUAAAACUGGCAAGCCGUCCAGGAGUCCUGGGGUAAGUUACUUGUCAAUGGCAUGGUUUUGAUCCCUUCCUUGCACUUGUUAAAAGACUUACUGGCCAUAGAAGGCUUUCAGUGUUGAGUAGCCUUUUAACCUGUUUAUGGUAUGACAUAGCUGUAGAUAGUUACUUGCCGUAAAUCAAGUUUUAGAAAUAAACUACUUGGCAAAGAUUUGUUUUUGAAAGUCUGGUCAUCAACGCGUUCAUUCCGUAAUAGUAAUAAUGAAAAACAUUUCUUUGAACCACAGUUGAAUAAAAGGUUUUCUUGCCACCAACAGUUUAGUGUCUGGAGUCUUACUGGAAAAAAAUAAAAACCUUUCUAUAUCAUGACAAUGCUGGAAGUUAAAGUGACUCUGGGAAGAUGCAGUACAGCAUUUUCAUCCUUUGAAAUGUGAGUCUCCAGCUGGGUGUGGUGGCCCAUGCUUUUAAUCCAGGAAUUUGAGGCAGGUGCAAGUGAAUUGUAGGCCAGCAGCCAUUGCUCCAUCGGGGGGCCCUGUUUUAAAAACUUGUUAGACGUGCCAAGUAAAAUCAAAAAUGACAUUUAAGGUUAAGUCAGCGUCUCAGCAGGAGAACAGUUUAUUUCAUGAUGAAUUGCUGUUUUUGUUACAUAAGAGAAUGACUCUACUAUGUAGAGUUAUGUCUGGCUUCCCUGUACCCAAGUAGUUCGUGAGCAACUAAGAAAAGUGGGCUGGGUAUAGUGGAAUACCUGGUCAGGUUUUUGAAAUGGAUUGCUAAUUUGUCCUUUUAAAGAGUAAAAUACUGUAUCAUGGGUUUUAAUUUGUUUCAGUUUGCUGAAUGUGGGAGAACACGCCUAUAAUCCCAGUAUUCUGUAAUGGACUUGGUUGUUUUUAAUAGCUGGUCUACUGAUGUAAAAGUCAAAACACCUGCUUUCAGUUUACCUUCCAAAAGAGAAGUGACUUUCUCAGGUAUUCUGGAACCAGUACUGCUACACUCUGUUAGAGCACUUUCUGAGCCCAUUAAAGAGCAAAUCUACACACUAGGAAAAUCACCAAGCCCAUUGUUGGCCAGAAAUGGGAACAGCCAGUAUGAAAUUAGACUGUAGGGAAUCAAAUACAGCUUGACAUAGUCUGUGUGGGGUUGGCAAAGCACUGCUCUUUUGAACAGCACAAAUCAAAGCUGACAUUGUCAAGUGUCCUGUACCUGUAAUGAUCUUAUCUGCUUUGAUUUGGGGUAGGCUGUAAUUCAUCUCGGGUUUACCACUAGGCUUCCCGUGUACUUGUAGAAAUAAGGAACAAUGUACUGAUUGGAGGAUGCAAAUUAGAAAUUACUUGUUAUGUUCUCAAUCCAGGGAAUAUAGUUUAUGACUUUUGUGUAGACCCCAUACUGGUUUGCCUCCCCACAAUAAAUGGAACCCCAGGAAACUAUUCCUCCCACAAACCAUCGUUGUGUUUCACUAUCUAGAAACACUAAUGCCCCUCCACUGUCACCUCUGCAGCUGUCCUUGCCACCGGUUUCUAAGCCUGCACAGAGCAUGUUAGCAGUUACUCUUGCUUCUGGGAGGAGCUGCUUUUCAUACGCAGCAGUACAUUUUUGGUGGUCAACAAUUGGUAUGUCCACAAACAUUAGGUGUCUAGCAAGAAACCCCUUCUUGGUUAACCCCCAGCCAGCCACAGUUCCAGUUCUCAUUAAGGAUGCAGCUUCUUUCCUUGGUAGGCAAACAGGUGUGAUGUUUCUGUUGAUUGUGACUUUGUUCUUGAGUUUAAUCAGUGCUAUGUCGUUGUCAUAACCAGCACCGUGAGUGUAACCUUCAUGUAUAAAGACAGCCUCUGGCCAGGCUUGAGUGUAGUGAGGCGAGAGCCUUUUGAGGAGACCCAUCCGGAUGUCCAGGGAGGACACUGCCUCUGUGUUCCCAUAGACAGCAUGAGCAGCUGUUAGGACCCAGUUGUCAUGUAUAAGUGCACCUGAUGCUGUAGUUUGACCCAGUAACAAGACUUGCCAAGGAAAGUCGCCAGGCUUUGCAGGCUUGCCUCCAACUAUACGUCCUCCUAUAGUGUGUGUGGACAGCCCACAAACUGAGGAAAAAACAAGUACUUAGUGUCAGCCAAAACUUACAUCCUACAAGUUGAUAGCCAUCCUCCACGUUGGCAGGGGAGGGGGGGGGGAGGCCCUUCUAAAUAGUAUAUAAAGACCUCCAAAGUCCUUGCUAGUCUGCUAAGCUCCUUGUAAGAGACUUCGGAUUGUUAGGUUUUGUUAAAACAAGAUGAUGGAGUCUAUAGACAGGACUUGCGUGCUGGACAUGACCCUGCCUGGAGCCAAAGGGCAGACCCCCUCACCACACCCUGCACUGCUUGUCUUACUUUUUUAGAGCUUACUAGGAAUUGUGGGAAAACAGGAACUAUGAUUUACAAAAUCCCUGUUGACUGUACAUAUAACAGUCUACAUUGCAGUGUUGCAGCAAUAGCCAAGGUGCUUCUGGUUCCAGAGUUGGUGAUUUUGGUCUGGUUGAGUCAUCCAAACAGUGUUAGCGUUCAUUGCAAGCUGAGUGCUCAGGAGUGCAACAUCCGCUCCUUACUGGGCUUGUGCACUGUGAUUAAAACUUAGAAGCAGCAUGUCAGCCAAAUCCAGGGCUAGGAAACUAAUUGAAACGAGCUAACACAGGGGUAAUGAGUGUAUUAUUACCUUUCAAUUAAAAAAAGCAUUCUCAACUAUUGGAGCCAAUUCUGGUAAAGAAAUUUAAGUACUAUUAAAAGGCAAAUUGCAUUAAUGUUUAAAAAUCUAGAUGUCAUUGAAAACAAUUGCUUAGGGAAAUAAUGAAGUUAUUAGCUUUGGGGUUUAAUAGCAUUUUUACAGAGAAGAAAAGUAACAAGAGUUCGUGGUUAUAAAUGUAUAAUGGUUUGAGAUAAUUUAAGAAAUGAUUUAAUUUUUUAUGCUUGCCUAGUUAUGAGGUCAGAAACAAUCCAGUGCACAUGAUGCAGUCCGCACCUACCUUCCGUGUGGGAGGAGUACUGUGAGCUCACUGCUGGGGAGCAGUGAGCCAGCCUAGGCCAAGUGCUGGCCUUCCUUUCUGCCUCCCCAGCUAGACCUGCCUAUUGUCUGCCAGCUACUCUCUGCCAGCUAUGAAUCUCUUUUAUAAGUGCGUCCAUUACCAGGCUCACAAACCGGGAGGGAUUUUUCUCCUUUGGAGCUCGUCCAGAAUCCAUCAGCUUCACAUACAUAUUUACCUGCAAAUCAUUGGAAAAGCAAAAAUGUUUAGCUGCAGUUGUCAUUUGCUUGAAUAACCCCUUGAAAAAUGUUGAUUCUUGAGCAUCCGUGGUGGGGAGAGGUGUGUGUGAAUAACCAUUUUACAUGAUUUCAUAAAUAGGUAUCUGCAUUACCAUGUUUGCUUGCAAAGUGGAAACCUUUUAGAUGUGUAACUUGAAUAUGUAUCAAGAUCUCAAGUGCUUAAUGAUAAGGUUUUGACUUGUUAAAUUAAACCAUUUGGAAUAUA